This is a long non-coding RNA of Alosa sapidissima (American shad), 543 nucleotides long. RefSeq lists it as uncharacterized. The transcript is spliced from 3 exons. The record is from RefSeq and is a predicted model, not a curated record. NCBI's taxonomy places the organism in Eukaryota, Metazoa, Chordata, Actinopteri, Clupeiformes, Clupeidae.
AUGAUCUAAACCAAGCGAGUGCUGAGUCUUUGAUGCCUAUCAAAUUUUCAAGCCUAAGUAUGGUCUAUAUCUAUGCUGUCAAAGGCAGCGAUGAGGUCCAGGAGGACCAGUAUAGAUACAAGGCUAGGUUUUUUGAGGGAGAGCUUAAUAACAGAUGUCUUAAACGACUGCGGUACAUGCCCUGAUAGAAUUAUUUAUAAUCUACAGCAAAACAUUAUCCAGGAAGGGGAGACCAGUCUUAAGUAGUGUGCCCAUUCCAGCAGGAAUGGCUGUUCCUUCUUCCGUUUUCCAGGAAAUGCAAGGACCAAGACUCUCUGGCUAAAACGGAUCAGGAACAUUGGAACCCCCCACCCUGGACUGAUGUACACAGGAUUUUUCAGGUUACGUGUUGUAUUAAUUCAAUCAGCAGUUCUUUUUUCUUAAAUAUAAUUCACCACCCCAUGUCUAGAACAUUUCACACAAUAUGAGAGCUGUGUGGUGGUUCCUAGUGCAUAAUGAUGUGUGAUUUUUGAUUACAGUAUUUCAUGCAUAUUAUUAUUUAAC